RNAcentral lists this ribosomal RNA (258 nucleotides) under uncultured bacterium. RNAcentral describes it as "partial small subunit ribosomal RNA". It matches the Rfam family "Bacterial small subunit ribosomal RNA", at positions 26 to 285 of the family's 1533-position model. The record is from RNAcentral.
AGGACGAACGCUGGCGGCGUGCUUAACACAUGCAAGUCGAACGAGGCCCUACCUUCGGGUAGGUGACUUAGUGGCGAACGGGUGAGUAACACGUGGGCAACCUACCCUCAGCUCUGGGAUAACUUCGGGAAACCGGAGCUAAUACCGGAUAUGACCUUGAACGACAUCGUUCUUGGUGGAAAGUUUUUCGGCUGAGGAUGGGCCCGCGGCCUAUCAGCUUGUUGGUGGGGUAAUGGCCUACCAAGGCGACGACGGGUA